UUGGCCGAAUUCCCAAUAAGAAUCUCCUCUCUCUUUGAACAAAAAAAAAAAAGAAUCUCCUCUCUCUCUCUCUUGUCGUUCUUGAGAGUUGUUCAAUACACACUGUUUUUGAUAAAACUUAGAAAAAGUUGUUAAGCAGAAACAUUCAAAGGUGAAACAAUCUCUUUAUUUUAUUCCUUUGGGGAUAUCCAUCUUAUCUUUUCCUAUCUUUCUCGCCGCUGGUACUUCCCGGCGAUCUCGUCCUCUUCCCUUUAGAACUCAUCAAACUCCCCUCUGGUUCUCUUACAUUUUGCCCCUCCAAAGGUUGUGAAGCUGAACUACGAUUCUCGGUUACUUCUCUGAGCUUUUGGAGUUCUCUUUUCCAGACACCUUCAGGAGUUGAGGUUGAAAAUGGAAGAUCCAAUAGGAAGCUAUGAUCUUCCAAUUCUCUCCCGAUUGUUUGAUAUUUUUCUUUCACCUCCUCAUAAAGCUCGGCAUAACUCCUCCUCUCUCUCUCUGUCAAAUCUGAAUUCUCCAUUCAUAAACAUCUGUCACCAAAGCGACUCUGCAUUCGAGCCUAUCAAACUCUGCAUUCAGCUUCUCCAGCAUAAGUUUCUGUAAAAAAAAAAAAGAAAACAACAUUAUAACUAGUUUAAUAAACAAGAAAAAAAAAAAUUACCGCCUGGGCUCUGCUUUCUUUCCUCCUUCAUCGUUUAAGCUGACAGUGAAUGCAUAAUCAUCGUCCUCCUCGGGAAACAGUAUCCUUGCUUCCGGAGAAAGCUUAGUGCCAAGGUAUCUUGGAUGUGCAGCAUCUUUUCCACCCUACAAUGUCCACGAGCUUAGAUCAACAAGGAGAUGAAUAACUUGCUCUAUUAGCUAGCUAUACAUACCGCAUUCCGUGUACCAGAUUGCCCAGGGAUUCAAGUAAUGGCAUGUUGUUACUACCAACAUGAUCCUGCCCCAUCUUAAUGAUUGUACUGUUGAGGCUUUUGUCACUGUGCUCUGAUACAGACUGGCAGCAGUAUGGUCUAGCGUGUUUUUUUUUUCUUGUAUGUUGUAAAACGAUUUUAAGAAAGUGAUUUGAGUGAUA
Raphanus sativus (radish) is the source of this 1069-nucleotide long non-coding RNA. RefSeq lists it as uncharacterized. The record is from RefSeq and is a predicted model, not a curated record. Lineage: Eukaryota; Viridiplantae; Streptophyta; Magnoliopsida; Brassicales; Brassicaceae. The transcript is spliced from 2 exons.